Molecule: ribosomal RNA, 1460 nt
Filed under: metagenome
Description: bacterial SSU rRNA
Rfam family: Archaeal small subunit ribosomal RNA
Source: RNAcentral
UCCGGUUGAUCCUGCCGGACCCCACUGCUAUCGGGACGGGACUAAGACAUGCUAGUUGUGCGCCUUCAAGCUAUGAUGGAGGAGCAGCGUACAGCUCAGUAACACGUGGCCAAUCUGCCCUUGGGAAGAGAAUACCCCCGGGAAACUGGGACUAAAUCUCAAUAGGUGAAGAAACUUGGAAUAGUUCAUCACUCAAAUAACGCUUAGAUCAUGCUUCUAGGCGUUGCCCAAGGAUGGGGCCGCGACCGAUCAGGUUGUUGGUGAGGUAAUGGCCCACCAAGCCUUUGACCGGUACGGGCCGUGAGAGCGGUAGCCCGGAGAUGGGUACUGAAACAAGGGCCCAGGUCCUACGGGACGCAGCAGUCACGAAAACUCCGCAAUACACGAAAGUGUGACGGGGCCAUCCCGAGUGCUUUCCGCUGAGGAUAGCUUUUCUCUAUUGUACAAAGAUAGAGGAAUAAGGAGAGGGCAAGUCUGGUGUCAGCCGCCGCGGUAAUACCAGCUCUCCGAGUAGUGGGGAUGUUUAUUGGGCCUAAAGCAUCCGUAGCCGGCUAUGUUAGUCCUCUGUUAAAACCAGCGAUUUAAUCGAUGGAGUGCGGAGGAUACUGCAUGGCUAGGGGGCGGAAGAGGCCGACGGUAUUUCCGGAGUAGGGGUGAAAUCUUAUAAUCCCGGAAGGACCACCAGUGGCGAAGGCUGUCGGCUAGUACGCGCUCGACGGUGAGGGAUGAAAGCUAGGGGAGCGAACCGGAUUAGAUACCCGGGUAGUCCCAGCUGUAAACGAUGCAGGCUAGGUGUCAGAGUGGCUAUGGGCCACUCUGGUGCCGCAGGGAAACUGAUAAGCCUGCCGCCUGGGGAGUACGGCCGCAAGGCUGAAACUUAAAGGAAUUGGCGGGGGAGCACCACAAGGGGUGAAGCUUGCGGUUUAAUUGGAGCCAACGCCGGAAAUCUCACCGGAGGCGACAGCAGAAUGAAAGCCAGAUCGAAGAUCUUGCUAGACGAGCUGAGAGGAGGUGCAUGGCCGUCGCCAGUUCGUGCCGUGAGGUGUCCUGUUUAGUCAGGCAACGAUCGAGACCCGCAUUCCUUGUUGCUAACAGCCAAGAGCUGAGCACACUGGGAAGACUGCCGUCGAUAAGACGGAGGAAGGAGCGGGCCACGGCAGGUCAGUAUGCCCCGAAUCCUCCGGGCCACACGCGAGCUGCAAUGGCAGGUACAAUGGGUUUCAACCCCGAAAGGGGAAGGUAAUCCCGAAAGCCUGUCGUAGUUGGGAUCGAGGGUUGUAACUCACCCUCGUGAACAUGGAAUCCCUAGUAAUCGCGCGUCACUACCGCGCGGUGAAUACGUCCCUGCUCCUUGCACACACCGCCCGUCGUUCCAUCCGAGCGACUCAUGGAUGAGACAUGGUCUAACUUGGCUGUGUCGAAUCUAAGUUCCGCGAGGAGGGAAAAGUCGUAACAAGGUG